RNAcentral lists this ribosomal RNA (206 nucleotides) under uncultured bacterium. RNAcentral's name for it is "partial 16S ribosomal RNA". It matches the Rfam family "Bacterial small subunit ribosomal RNA", at positions 1287 to 1500 of the family's 1533-position model. The record is from RNAcentral.
CUCAGUUCGGAUCGGAGUCUGCAACCCGACUCCGUGAAGCUGGAUUCGCUAGUAAUCGCGCAUCAGCCAUGGCGCGGUGAAUACGUUCCCGGGCCUUGUACACACCGCCCGUCAAGCCAUGGGAGCCGGGGGUACCUGAAGUCCGUAACCGCGAGGAUCGGCCUAGGGUAAAACUGGUGACUGGGGCUAAGUCGUAACAAGGUAGC